This 1235-nucleotide ribosomal RNA is filed under the name Cellulomonadaceae str. K12. RNAcentral describes it as "bacterial SSU rRNA". It matches the Rfam family "Bacterial small subunit ribosomal RNA", at positions 129 to 1378 of the family's 1533-position model. The record is from RNAcentral. Lineage: Bacteria; Bacillati; Actinomycetota; Actinomycetes; Micrococcales; Cellulomonadaceae.
CCCCUGACUCUGGGAUAACUACCGGAAACGGUGGCUAAUACCGGAUAUGAGGUGCCUGGGCAUCUGGGCGCCUGGAAAGUUUUUCGGUCAGGGAUGGGCUCGCGGCCUAUCAGCUUGUUGGUGGGGUGAUGGCCUACCAAGGCGACGACGGGUAGCCGGCCUGAGAGGGCGAUCGGCCACACUGGGACUGAGACACGGUCCAGACUCCUACGGGAGGCAGCAGUGGGGAAUAUUGCACAAUGGGCGCAAGCUGAUGCAGCGACGCCGCGUGCGGGAUGACGGCCUUCGGGUUGUAAACCGCUUUCAGCAGGGGAAGAAGCGCAAGUGACGGUACCUGCAGAAGAAGCGCCGGCUAACUACGUGCCAGCAGCCGCGGUAAUACGUAGGGCGCAAGCGUUGUCCGGAAUUAUUGGGCGUAAAGAGCUCGUAGGCGGUUUGUCGCGUCUGCUGUGAAAUCCUCAGGCUCAACCUGGGGCUUGCAGUGGGUACGGGCAGACUAGAGUGCGGUAGGGGUGACUGGAAUUCCUGGUGUAGCGGUGGAAUGCGCAGAUAUCAGGAGGAACACCGAUGGCGAAGGCAGGUCACUGGGCCGCAACUGACGCUGAGGAGCGAAAGCAUGGGGAGCGAACAGGAUUAGAUACCCUGGUAGUCCAUGCCGUAAACGUUGGGCACUAGGUGUGGGGUCCAUUCCACGGAUUCCGUGCCGCAGCAAACGCAUCUAAGUGCCCCGCCUGGGGAGUACGGCCGCAAGGCUAAAACUCAAAGAAAUUGACGGGGGCCCGCACAAGCGGCGGAGCAUGCGGAUUAAUUCGAUGCAACGCGAAGAACCUUACCAAGGCUUGACAUACACCGGAAAAGUGCAGAGAUGUGCUCCCCGUAAGGUCGGUGUACAGGUGGUGCAUGGUUGUCGUCAGCUCGUGUCGUGAGAUGUUGGGUUAAGUCCCGCAACGAGCGCAACCCUCGUCCCAUGUUGCCAGCGGGUUAUGCCGGGGACUCAUGGGAGACUGCCGGGGUCAACUCGGAGGAAGGUGGGGAUGACGUCAAAUCAUCAUGCCCCUUAUGUCUUGGGCUUCACGCAUGCUACAAUGGCCGGUACAAAGGGCUGCGAUACCGCAAGGUGGAGCGAAUCCCAAAAAGCCGGUCUCAGUUCGGAUCGGGGUCUGCAACUCGACCCCGUGAAGUUGGAGUCGCUAGUAAUCGCAGAUCAGCAACGCUGCGGUGAAUACGUUCCCGGG